CAUUAAUAAACUGAGAUUAACCCUUUUUGUUUAGAGAGCUUUAAUGAAAAAUAUUUGAGUUAAGUUUAAUUUAAUUAAAAACUACCUUAUACUAUUAUUUAACCAAAAACACUUCAUAUUUAAUUAUAACAACCAAGCCCCACAAACAUUAACACACAUGAACUGAAGUAAAAGCCCGAAAUGAAAUUUUUUUUUCCAGCAUUACCCUAACGGAAACCUCAUGUUGUCUGCUAAUUCUGUUAAAAAUAAACUUUCCUUUAUUUACAAACAUGCCAUUACGUUAGCCAAUUACUUCUCUUUCUGUAUUUUUUUUAUUUUUAUUUUUAUGCCGUUGGUUUUCUCUCUUUUCUUUUCUUUUUGUUGUCCCCCCUAAGGGGCGGCGUCUAUUUUAUACGCUUGAGAAACCCAAUCAAUUCCAACUUUCAGUUAUAUAUAUAUUUCCUUAUAUGAAUUAGGUUGUUCAAAUUCUUUUGUUGAUCAACCACCACCCUUAAUUUUGUUUGCCAUUUAGAACCUGCUUUUUGUAGGAAUCACUUCGAUUGAAAAUUAUUCCAAUUUCAUUUUUCAGUUCAGCGGUUCUAGAUUUGUUCGUGUGGUCUUGACUUUUGACCGAUAAAACAAUGGUCCUGGGGGUGGUUAAGAAAUUUCUGGGGUAGAAAUAAUCUAUAUUAACAACAUUGUCGCUUAACAAUUUAUGUAACAAAAUAUCUAAUGGAUGUAUGACAUUACAAUUAUAUUCACAACUUUGUGUACAACAUUGCAAUGUUGUAAAUAUGAUGUAUGGGUUUGCAACCUAAACUUGAGGGGGAAAACUGUAAUACCAUGUUUUUAGGUUUUUUUUUUUUAGAGAAAAUUCAAACAAUAUUUUUAGUUUAAGUACUAAUGGAAAAAGCCGACUACAAUCAUUUUAUAAAUAGUAUUAUAUUUUAAAGUAGAUACAUGAUUGCCACUCAAUGUCAGUAAUUUUUUUUACGACCAGCUAGUGAUUUUAUCAUAUAUUCAGAGAAACAGACCACAUAGUUGUAAUUAUUUACAUUUUCAUCUCAUUCUAUCAAAUUCACCAAAGUACUAAAAAUAAAUAAUAAAUUUACUUCCAUUCGCCUAGGCCCAGCCUAGACCACGUCAAGACGUUAAGCUCUAGUUCACCACUCGACUACCGCCUAGCAUCUUUUAGGUUUUUUUUUUUUUUUGAGAAAAUUCAAAGAAUAUUUUUAGUUUAAGUACUAAUGGAAAAGUCGACUAAAAUCAUUUUAUAAAUAGUAUUAUAUUUUAAAGUAGUUACAUGAUUGCCACUCAAUGUCAGUAAUUUUUUUUUACAACCAGAGUUCGGCUGGUGAUUUUAUCAUAUAUUCAGAGAAACAAACCACAGAGUUGUAAUUAUUUACAUUUUCAUCUCAUUCUAUCAAAUUCACCAAAGUACUAAAAAUAAAUAAUAAAUUUACUUACAUUUGCCUAGGCCCAGCCUAGACCACGACGAGACGUUAAGCUCUAGUUCGCCACUCGACUAUCGCCUAGCAUCUUGUAGAACCAUAAGAAAUAAUGUGUGUUUUCUUCAAUUUCAUAAAUAGUGUAAAGCUUUGUAAUUGUCCUAGCAAUAGUGUGCGUUAUUUUUUGUUCAAAUCCAGAAUUAGUGUGAGUUCUUUUGUUCUUUCCAAAAAUUGUGUUUAUUUUGUUACUUUUCAUAAAUAGUGUGAGUUAUUUUGGAUCACUUUCAAAAAUAGUGUGGAUUAUUAUGUUGAAGUUCUAGAAAUAAUGUAGGUUAUUAUGCUGUAGUUCUAGAAAUAGGGUGUGUUAUUUUGGUUUACUUUCGAAAAUAGUGUGGGUCAUUAUGUAGUAGUUCAAAAAAUAGUGUGGGUAUUAUGCUGUAGUUUAGAAGUGGUGUGGGUUAUUUUGAUUCACUUUUAGAAAUAGUGUGGGUUAUUUUGAUUCACUUUUAGAAAUAGUGUGAGUUAUUAUGAUGUAGAUCCAAAAAUAGUGUGGGUUAUUUUGAUUCACUUUUAGAAAUAGUGUGAGUUAUUAUGUUGUAGAUCCAGAAAUAGUGUGGGUUAUUAUGUUGUAGUUUCAGAAAUAGUGUGAAUUAUUUUUGUUCAUUUUCAGAAAUAGUGUGAGUUAUUAUAUAAUAGUACCAGAAAUAAUGUGAGUUAUUUUGUUGUAGUUCAAGAAAUAGUAGCUCACUUUCGGAAGUAGUGUAGUGUGGGUUAUUUUGCUAUAGUUCAAGAAAUAAUGUCUAUUUUGCUCCAUUCCAUAAAUAAUAUGUGUUAUUUUGGUUCAAUUUCAUAAAUAGUGUGGGUUAUUAUGUUGUAGAUCCAGAAAUAGUGUGGGUUAUUAUGCUGUAGUUUCAAAAAUAGUGUGAAUCAUUUUGGUUCAUUUUCAGAAAUAAUGUGAGUUAUUAUACAAUAGUUUCAGAAAUAAUGUGAGUUAUUUUGUUGUAGUUCAAGAAAUAGUAGCUCACUUUCGGAAGUAGUGUGGGUUAUUUUGUUGUAGUUCAAGAAAUAAUGUUUAUUUUGCUCCAUUCCAUAAAUAAUAUGUGUUAUUUUGUUUCAAUUUCAUAAAUAGUGUGAGUUUUUUUUUAUGUAGUUCCAGAAAUAAUAUGAGUUAUUUUGGUUCACUUUUAAAAAUAGUGUUGGUUAUUUUACUAUAGUUUUAGAAUAGUUUGAAUUAUUUUGGUUCACUUUCAUAAAUACUUUUGGUUAUUUUGCUAUAGUCUCUAAAAUAGUGUUAUUUUAUUACCUUCUAGACACAAUGUGGGUUAUUUUGGUAUAUUUCAUAAAGUGUAAGUUUAUUUGCUAUAGUUUUAGAAAUAGUGUGCGUUAUUUUGUUGUAAUUCUGAAAAUAGUUAUAUUUUCAUUAUUGCAGAUGGAACAAAUGAAAAAUGUUAGGGUGAAGAGAUUUGUUAAUUGAUAUUGUUGCAGAGUUUCACUGUCGAGUUCUUCAAAAGGGAAAAGUUAAUGAAAAUCUUGAUGUCCUCCUGCAUUACAUGAAAAUAUGCGAGUAAUCUAGAGAAACAAAUGAUGCCUAAAGAUAAAUGAGGACAGAGAAACAAAAUGGUAAUAAAACAAACAUCUCUAGUGCUUUGAACGGAUUGUGAAGACCAUGUUUCGAGCACAAUGGCAAUCCAGCAAUCCAAGUUGUCCAAAAAAAGCAAUCCAGCAAUCCAAAAACAUUCGUUACGGUUCACAUACACUGACAUAGAACAUGAUACUUGUAUUAAUCAAGAUGGGUGCUCACUUGCUUAAUGUAUAUGCACUCUACAAAGGAAAUGAUAGAUUUGUAAAAAACAAAAAAAAAAAAAAAACAAAAAGAGUACUUGUAUUAUACAA
This 3320-nucleotide long non-coding RNA is filed under the name Malus domestica (apple). Its description in RNAcentral is "long non-coding RNA (MDOM_LNC013871)". The record is from RNAcentral. Lineage: Eukaryota; Viridiplantae; Streptophyta; Magnoliopsida; Rosales; Rosaceae.